UCAAAAACAUAACUAUAUGAAGAUAUAUGUAGCUAUUUCUGCUCAAUGAUUUAAUUAAAUAGCCGCAGUAAUUUGACUGUGCAAAGGUAGCAUAAUCAUUUGGCUUAUAAUUGAAGUCUAGUAUGAAUGAAUACAUGGGGGCUAGCUGUAUCAAGAAUGGUGUUAAAAAUUACUAAUUGGGUGAAAAUUCCCAUAUUUAAAAUAAUAGACGAGAAGACCCUAGAAAUUUUAAAGAUAUUGAGAAAUUUGUUUUUGUUGGGGCGACAUAAUAGCAUAAAACCUAUUUUAAUUACAUGUGAUUAUUAUAAUAAGAUAAACCAAAUUACUCUAGGGAUAACAGCAUAAUAUUAAAAAGUUUGUGACCUCGAUGUUGGACUAGGGAAUAAUAGCCCAGAAGGCUUUUUAUCAGGCUCUGUUCGAGCGGGAUCCCCUACGUGAUCUGA
RNAcentral lists this ribosomal RNA (443 nucleotides) under Laeocathaica prionotropis. RNAcentral describes it as "partial large subunit ribosomal RNA". It matches the Rfam family "Archaeal large subunit ribosomal RNA", at positions 1899 to 2677 of the family's 2987-position model. The record is from RNAcentral. Lineage: Eukaryota; Metazoa; Mollusca; Gastropoda; Stylommatophora; Camaenidae.